This 511-nucleotide ribosomal RNA is filed under the name uncultured bacterium. Its description in RNAcentral is "bacterial SSU rRNA". It matches the Rfam family "Bacterial small subunit ribosomal RNA", at positions 28 to 534 of the family's 1533-position model. The record is from RNAcentral.
GAUGAACGCUAGCGGGAGGCUUAACACAUGCAAGUCGAGGGGCAUCACGAGGUAGCAAUACUUUGGUGGCGACCGGCGCACGGGUGAGUAACACGUAUGCAACCUACCCUGUACAGGGGGAUAACCCGGAGAAAUUCGGACUAAUAUCCCAUGCAAUUAUUGGAGGGCAUCCUUUGAUAAUUAAAGCUCAGGCGGUAUAGGAUGGGCAUGCGGAACAUUAGCUAGUUGGUAGGGUAACGGCCUACCAAGGCUACGAUGUUUAGGGGACCUGAGAGGGUUAUCCCCCACACUGGUACUGAGACACGGACCAGACUCCUACGGGAGGCAGCAGUGAGGAAUAUUGGUCAAUGGGCGCAAGCCUGAACCAGCCAUCCCGCGUGAAGGAAGAAGGCCCUAUGGGUUGUAAACUUCUUUUCCAGGGGUGAAUAAUUCCGAUGUAUCGGGAGAUGACGGUACCCUGGGAAUAAGCAUCGGCUAACUCCGUGCCAGCAGCCGCGGUAAUCGUAGCGUG